UAGGGAAUAUUAGAAAUGGACGAAAGUCUGAUCUAGCAACACCGCGUGUGCGAAGAAGGCCUUCGGGUCGUAAAGCACUUUUUGGAAGGAAUAGGAAGGAAUGUACUUCCAGAAUAAGUCUCGGCUAACUACGUGCCAGCAGCCGCGGUAACACGUAGGAGGCAAACGUUAUCCGGAUUUACUGGGCGUAAAGCGCGUGUAGGUGGUACUGUAAGUAGGGCGUGAAAGCUCCUGGCUCAACUGGGAGAGGCCGUUCUAAACUACAGAACUAGAGGAUGGUAGAGGGAGGUGGAAUUCCAGGUGUAGCGGUGGAAUGCGCAGAUAUCUGGAGGAACACCGGUGGCGAAGGCGGCCUCCUGGACCAUUCCUGACACUCAGACGCGAAAGCUAGGGUAGCA
Molecule: ribosomal RNA, 398 nt
Filed under: uncultured bacterium
Lineage: Bacteria
Description: bacterial SSU rRNA
Rfam family: Bacterial small subunit ribosomal RNA
Source: RNAcentral